Long non-coding RNA from Agelaius phoeniceus (red-winged blackbird), 1768 nucleotides. RefSeq lists it as uncharacterized. NCBI's taxonomy places the organism in Eukaryota, Metazoa, Chordata, Aves, Passeriformes, Icteridae. The record is from RefSeq and is a predicted model, not a curated record.
AUUUGGAAAAUGCCUCCUGGAAAGGGCUGUCCAGCCCUGGCAGAGCUGCCCAGUCCCCAUCCCUGAGGAGACUGAACAGUGGAGUGGAUGUGGCACCUGGAGACAUGGGCUAGUGCUGGUCCUGGGAGUGCUGGGGGAGCAGCUGGACGCAGUGAUCAUUGAAUCAUGGAACGGUUUGGGUUGAAGGGACCUUACACUUUAUCCAGUUCCACCUCCCUGCCAUGGACACCUUCCACUAGCCCAGGCUGCUCCAAGCCCUGUCCAACCUGGCCCUGAACACUGCCAGGGAUGGAGCAGCCACAGCUUCUCUGGGCACCCUGUGCCGGGGCCUCACCACCCUUACAGGGAAGGAUUUCUUCCCAACAUUCCAACUAAACUCACCUCUGGCAGUGGGAAGCCAUUCCCCUUGUCCUGUCUCUCCAGGCCCCUGUCUAAAGUCCAGAUCUCUUGGAGUCCCUUCAGGCACUGGAAUCGAGGAAACGAUUCAUCAACGGCUUGGCUUCUCUUCUGUGGGCAGAACACUUCUGCUCUCUAAUGGAAUGUAGUGUUGUCUUUGUUUGCAUCUUUGAUAUAAUCCCUCUUCUGUCAUCAGGAAACUGCAAAGGAUCUGUUUUGAGGCCCCAAAAAUGAUGGUGUUGCUGGCAGUGACAUGGUUUUGAUAUGGCUAUUUAAGGCAGGACCUAUCAGACUGAACACUGCUGACAGCUGGUGACAGAGGUGGCUGUAUCAGCACCGGCCAUCCCAGAGACCUUGGAAUGGUGCCACUAUGUACAUGGGGGUAAUUCAGACCUUCCAGGCCAAGAUGAACUGCAGCUAAACCCCACUGGAUACAAGGGAGCUACACCAUCUAUCUGGUAUCUCACAGUGUCUCACCAGGCUCCCUCUGCCAACGGCAUUCAAACAAAGCACACUCGUGUCCCAGAUUGAUGAUGUCUGGAUUAACCACACGGGGUAAAACAAAGUGUGUGGAAUGAGCCCCUGGCUCCAUCCACCAGUGAGGCGCUGGCGCUGUGAUCACUGCCAGGAUGUGAGGAACAGACACAUUACCUGCCCCAGAGGCACCACAAGCACACACAAGGUAAUCUGGACAGCAGGACCUCAUUCCAGAGCUGCUCCUCUAGCAGUGCAGAUCCAUGGGCUCUUUGAUAGUGGAGAAGGUGGUGAAUCUUCCCCUUGACUCCACACGGGUGACUCAUCCCAGCUGCCACUCUGGGUUUGAUCUGCUCAGGCUCUGCAUGUGUACAGAUUAUCUGGGUUAAGUGCAGCUUUGCUUUUGCCCUUUAUCUGUCUGCUCUGAAGCUGUUUAACAUGAUCUGCCUGUUUUCAUGCCAGCUCAGUUUCAGGAGUCCCAGGCACUGACUGGCACUGAGCACUGGCUGAUUGUUCUGCAGUGACCGCAGGCUUGGUCACUCAUCUCACAGGUCCCCAGUGCAAUUCCUACCCCUGCUGUGCUGACAGAAUUGGGAAAGUCUCUUCAGUGUUGCACGAGUCAUUCCCCUCUAGCUCUUCACAGUGACUUUUUUAUUGUGGAGAAAUCCCACAUUAUUCUAACAAGCAGAACCAACAUCUGCAUGGAACUCUGGGUGUGGGAACAGAAAUGUGGUCUUGCACAGUUUCACUGCUAGAAGCUGUUUGCUUUUUUAAAGAAAACUGCCUUCAAUUAAAGGGGCUGAUGAGGAAUAAUCUGCGAAGAAUCAGUGUUGUAUUUAUACAGCAGCACUGUUUGGGGACCAGGCAGGAAGUUGUUGGGAGGGUUUGCUGUUUUGUU